AGCUUUGCGCAGUGGCAGUAUCGUAGCCAAUGAGGUUUAUCCAAGGCGCGAUUAUUGCUAAUUGAAAGUCAAGUCAUAAUCAAAGCUAUGGGCAAUCACAGAUGGAUAAAGCAUGGGAAAAUGAAAGCACG
RNAcentral lists this small nuclear RNA (131 nucleotides) under Peromyscus maniculatus bairdii (prairie deer mouse). Its description in RNAcentral is "U4 spliceosomal RNA (ENSPEMG00000029526.1)". The stretch from base 1 to 82 matches the Rfam family "U4 spliceosomal RNA". From Rfam's summary of the family: U4 small nuclear RNA (U4 snRNA) is a component of the major U2-dependent spliceosome. The structure of U4 snRNA from yeast and human has been reported. Lineage: Eukaryota; Metazoa; Chordata; Mammalia; Rodentia; Cricetidae. The record is from RNAcentral.